GCUCGAGUGGCGAACGGGUGAGUAACACGUGAGUAACCUGCCCUUGACUUUGGGAUAACUUCAGGAAACUGGGGCUAAUACCGGAUAGGAGCUCCUGCUGCAUGGUGGGGGUUGGAAAGUUUCGGCGGUUGGGGAUGGACUCGCGGCUUAUCAGCUUGUUGGUGGGGUAGUGGCCUACCAAGGCUUUGACGGGUAGCCGGCCUGAGAGGGUGACCGGCCACAUUGGAACUGAGAUACGGCCCAG
RNAcentral lists this ribosomal RNA (244 nucleotides) under uncultured Actinomycetales bacterium. RNAcentral's name for it is "partial 16S ribosomal RNA". It matches the Rfam family "Bacterial small subunit ribosomal RNA", at positions 89 to 334 of the family's 1533-position model. The record is from RNAcentral. Lineage: Bacteria; Bacillati; Actinomycetota; Actinomycetes; Actinomycetales.